CUGAAGCCCCUUAAUGUAUUUUCUCACAUGAAUGAGUUUAAAACUGGCUGAAAACAACCAGUCCGAGGUAAACUAUAGCUGCGAGCCGCGACGGCGCCGUGCCAUAAUUCUAAAAUUAGCUAAAAAAAGAUUUUUAACACCGAUUUUAGAUUUUUUAGGGUGUCGUACCAUAAUUCAGGAAACCUAAGGACUGCCAGUAGGCGCAGUUGAAAGUUUAGUAUUUCAGACACCGAUUCGGGUAAGAAUCCCU
This 250-nucleotide long non-coding RNA is filed under the name Carica papaya (papaya). Its description in RNAcentral is "long non-coding RNA (CPAP_LNC007324)". Lineage: Eukaryota; Viridiplantae; Streptophyta; Magnoliopsida; Brassicales; Caricaceae. The record is from RNAcentral.